Molecule: ribosomal RNA, 425 nt
Filed under: uncultured bacterium
Lineage: Bacteria
Description: partial 16S ribosomal RNA
Rfam family: Bacterial small subunit ribosomal RNA
Source: RNAcentral
GUGGGGAAUCUUGCGCAAUGGGCGAAAGCCUGACGCAGCCAUGCCGCGUGAAUGAUGAAGGUCUUAGGAUUGUAAAAUUCUUUCACCGGGGACGAUAAUGACGGUACCCGGAGAAGAAGCUCCGGCUAACUUCGUGCCAGCAGCCGCGGUAAGACGAAGGGGGCUAGCGUUGCUCGGAAUUACUGGGCGUAAAGGGCGCGUAGGCGGACAGCUUAGUCAGAGGUGAAAGCCCAGGGCUCAACCUUGGAAUUGCCUUUGAUACUGGCUGUCUUGAGUUUGGGAGAGGUGAGUGGAACUCCGAGUGUAGAGGUGAAAUUCGUAGAUAUUCGGAAGAACACCAGUGGCGAAGGCGACUCACUGGCCCAAUACUGACGCUGAGGCGCGAAAGCGUGGGGAGCAAACAGGAUUAGAAACCCUGGUAGUCC